Molecule: ribosomal RNA, 492 nt
Filed under: uncultured bacterium
Lineage: Bacteria
Description: partial 16S ribosomal RNA
Rfam family: Bacterial small subunit ribosomal RNA
Source: RNAcentral
AGUGAACGCUGGCGGUAGGCCUAACACAUGCAAGUCGAACGGCAGCACAGUAAGAGCUUGCUCUUACGGGUGGCGAGUGGCGGACGGGUGAGGAAUACAUCGGAAUCUACUUUUUCGUGGGGGCGAACGUAGGGAAACUUACGCUAAUACCGCAUACGACCUACGGGUGAAAGCAGGGGAUCUUCGGACCUUGCGCGAUUGAAUGAGCCGAUGUCGGAUUAGCUAGUUGGCGGGGUAAAGGCCCACCAAGGCGACGAUCCGUAGCUGGUCUGAGAGGAUGAUCAGCCACACUGGAACUGAGACACGGUCCAGACUCCUACGGGAGGCAGCAGUGGGGAAUAUUGGACAAUGGGCGAAAGCCUGAUCCAGCCAUACCGCGUGGGUGAAGAAGGCCUUCGGGUUGUAAAGCCCUUUUGUUGGGAAAGAAAAGCAGCAGGUUAAUACCCCGCUGUUCUGACGGUACCCAAAGAAUAAGCACCGGCUAACUUCGUG